GACGAACGCUGGCGGCGUGCUUAACACAUGCAAGUCGAACGGAAAGGCCCUGCUUUUGCGGGUUUCUCGAGUGGCGAACGGGUGAGUAACACGUGAGUAACCUGCCCUUGACUUUGGGAUAACUUCAGGAAACUGGGGCUAAUACCCCAUAGGAUCUCCUGCUGCAUGGUGGGGGUUGGAAAGUUUCGGCGGUUGUGGAUGGACUCGCGGCUUAUCAGCUUGUUGGUGUGGUAGUGGCUUAGCAAGGAUUUGACGGGUAGCCGGCCUGAGAGGGUGACCGGCCACAUUGGGAUUGGGAUACGGCCCAGACUCAUACGGGCGGAAGGAGUGGGGAACAUAGGAAAAUGGGCGGCGGGAGGAUGGAGCAACGCCGGGUGCGGGAUGACGGCCUUCGGGUGGGAAACAGCGUUCGAGUGUGACGAAGCGUGAGUGACGGUAAUGGGUAAAGAAGCACCGGCUAACUACGU
This 467-nucleotide ribosomal RNA is filed under the name uncultured bacterium. RNAcentral's name for it is "partial 16S ribosomal RNA". It matches the Rfam family "Bacterial small subunit ribosomal RNA", at positions 28 to 506 of the family's 1533-position model. The record is from RNAcentral.